This 69-nucleotide small RNA is filed under the name Flavobacterium granuli. RNAcentral's name for it is "Flavo-1 RNA". It matches the Rfam family "Flavo-1 RNA". The record is from RNAcentral. Lineage: Bacteria; Pseudomonadati; Bacteroidota; Flavobacteriia; Flavobacteriales; Flavobacteriaceae.
UCCUAGCCCUGAUGGAAGCGGCAUCCCGCACUUUUUUUAGUGCGGAUACAGCGUACAGCAGGAAAAAGC